AAUAAAACAUAGCUUGUGAUGGAGUGUAAAACUUGUUGACACAAAGUGAUUUCUGCCCAGUGCUUUGAAUGUGAAUAUGAAGUAAUUGUAGAAGCUCGAGGUAAACGGCGGGAGUAACUAUGACUCUCUUAAGGUAGCCAAAUGCCUCGUCAUCUAAUUAGUGACGCGCAUGAAUGGAUUAAUGAGAUUCCCACUGUCCCUAUCUGCCAUCUAGCGAACCCACAGCCAAGGGAACGGGCUUGGAAUAAUCAGCGGGGAAAGAAGACCCUGUUGAGCUUGACUCUAGUCCGACUUUGUGAAAUGACUUUCGAGAUAUAGCCUAGGAGGGAGCUAACGCGCCGCUGUAAAACCUCUGCUCGCUUAGCCAUUUUACUUACUCCGUGAAGAAGUGGCCAACUCGUUGGUUCUUAGAUUUAAGCACCUAUAUCUUAGGUGCGAGCUUUGCGGAGGACAUGGUCAGGUGGGGAGUUUGACUGGGGCGGUACAUCUGUUAAACAAUA
This 500-nucleotide ribosomal RNA is filed under the name uncultured eukaryote. Its description in RNAcentral is "eukaryotic LSU rRNA". It matches the Rfam family "Eukaryotic large subunit ribosomal RNA", at positions 2145 to 2651 of the family's 3401-position model. The record is from RNAcentral.